GACUACGAAUUGUUUGUUUACUGCAUUUCAGUACCAUAACGUAAAAUAACAUACGUUUUCGAAGAAGUUGAUAACGUUUGCUUUGCUAUAGAGUUUUGUUCAAUAGUGUGAAUUAAUUCAAGACCAAUUUUAAUAAUAUGAAAAAAGUUAUCUUCAAGCCAUGAACACACCACCUUGCAGCAGGAAAGCAUUUGUUGAGCAGAGAUUUAUUGUGUGUUGCCAAGACUAGAAUUCAGUGGGAGCUUGUUAGCGUGAACCAGGUGAAUGAUGCUCAGACGGAUUUGUUAGAAGCUUGCCAAGUAUAUAAAUGAAGCAGAUGUAUUGUGCCAAACCAAGGCUGUUACACAGAAUUGUUGAGCCUUGAAAUGAAUUGUGGGAAAUCAAGACUGAUCUGUUUGAACUCUGUUAAGUAUACCGGUACUUGAAGCUUAGCAAAUUCAGAUUUUGAGAUAAAGCAAGUGAACCUUGGAAAGUCAAACUUUUUGAUAUAGAAUUGUGAGAAAUAAAGACUGAUUUGUUUGAACCUAAAGCUCACAAUAGCCAAAUCUGAUGUACAAUAUGGAGAUGAAGCAGAUGGAUUGUGGGAUGUCUACACUGCAAUAAACAUUUAUGGUGCAUCCAUAAAAUGGAUGGUUAGUGAUAUAUUAAGUAACUUAGUGUAAGUCCGAUUCUGAACUUAGUUUAAAUGUUGGUCUUCUUCUGGACUUAAUUUAUAAUCUUGAUGCAUUCUGGACUUGGUGUAAAAUGUAAGUCCUGUUCUGGACUUGGUUUAUAAUGUUGGUCCAUUCUGGACAUAGUGUAAAAUGUAGGUCCUAUAUUCUCUUCAGGACUUUAGUGUAAAAUAUUGGUCCUCUACUGGACUUGUAUAGUUUAUAAUCAUUGUCCUCUUCAGGACUUAGUGUAAAAUGUUGGUCCUCUUCUGGACUUAAUUUAUAAUCUUGAUGCAUUCUGGACUUAGUGUAAAAUGUAGGUCUUAUUCUGGACUUAGUUUAAAUGUUGGUCCUCUUCUGGACUUAGUUUAUAAUCAGUUUAUAAUCAUUGUCCUCUUCAGGACUUAGUGUAAAAUGUUGGUCCUCUUCUGGACUUAAUUUAUAAACUUGAUGCAUUCUGGACUUGGUGUAAAAUGUAGGUCCUAUUCUGUACUUAGUGUAAAAUGUAGGUCCUCUUCAGGACUUAGUGUAACAUGUUGGUCCUCUUCUGGACUUAAUUUAUAAACUUGAUGCAUUCUGGACUUGGUGUAAAAUGUAGGUCCUAUUCUGUACUUAGUGUAAAAUGUAGGUCCUCUUCAGGACUUAGUGUAAAAUGUUGGUCCUCUUCUGGACUUAAUUUAUAAACUUGAUGCAUUCUGGACUUGGUGUAAAAUGUAGGUCCUAUUCUGUACUUAGUGUAAAAUGUAGGUCCUCUUCUGGACUUAGUGUAAAAUGUUGGUCCUCUUCUGGACUUAAUUUAUAAUCCUGAUGCAUUCUGGACUUGGUGUAAAAUGUAGGUCCUAUUCUGUACUUAGUGUAAAAUGUAGGUCCUCUUCUGGACUUAGUGUAAAAUGUUGGUCCUCUUCUGGACUUAAUUUAUAAUCUUGAUGCAUUCUGGACUUAGUGUAAAAUGUAGGUCCUAUUCUGGACUUGGUGUAAAAUGUAGGUCUUAUUCUGGACUUGGUGUAAAAUGUAGGUCCUCUUCUGGACUUAGUUUAUAAUCAUUGUCCUCUUCAGGACUUAGUGUAAAAUGUUGGUCCUCUUCUGGACUUAAUUUAUAAUCUUGAUGCAUUCUGGACUUAGUGUAAAAUGUAGG
This 1785-nucleotide long non-coding RNA is filed under the name Anneissia japonica. Its description in RNAcentral is "uncharacterized LOC117116198, transcript variant X1". The record is from RNAcentral. Lineage: Eukaryota; Metazoa; Echinodermata; Crinoidea; Comatulida; Comatulidae.